CUGAGAGCCGAACAGGCCAAAGUAGUCCUGGACAAGGUGGUCCUAGCUGAGAUGAUCCAGGCUUUCUCAUCCCGGAAGAACUCUAAGCACAUGGAUGGGGCCUGGGACAAUGUGCAGAAUGAAUAACCUGGGCAAGAUGCUUCAAUUCAUGUUUCUAUGCAGAUGGAGCAGGAGGUUAGCAGAGCCUGUGCCUUCAGCUGCGAUGGGAAGGUGUUAAGUUGUUCUGCUUGGUCAAGUCCUAUGAAGAAGCCCAGGAUCCCAAGAUUACCAGCCUGUUAAACAAGCUGAUGGUGCUGUUCCUGCCACCCAUGACGCUGCCCUCAAGGCCUGCUUCUGGGGGUAGCACAGCAGCU
Molecule: long non-coding RNA, 353 nt
Filed under: Homo sapiens (human)
Lineage: Eukaryota; Metazoa; Chordata; Mammalia; Primates; Hominidae
Description: non-protein coding lnc-RGS5-3:1
Source: RNAcentral